This 322-nucleotide ribosomal RNA is filed under the name uncultured eukaryote. Its description in RNAcentral is "partial 18S ribosomal RNA". It matches the Rfam family "Eukaryotic small subunit ribosomal RNA", at positions 1470 to 1796 of the family's 1831-position model. The record is from RNAcentral.
CCCUUAGAUGUUCUGGGCCGCACGCGCGCUACACUGAUGCGUUCAACAAGUUUCCUUGGCCGAGAGGCCUGGGCAAUCUUCUUAAUAUGUAUCGUGAUAGGGAUAGAUUAUUGCAAUUAUUAAUCUUGAACGAGGAAUUCCUAGUAAACGCAGAUCAUCAAUCUGCAUUGAUUACGUCCCUGCCCUUUGUACACACCGCCCGUCGCACCUACCGAUUGGAUGUUCCGGUGAAGCCUCGGGAUGAGGACAGGUGCCUUUAUUGGCAUGAGUUGUUCAGAACUUGUCUAAACCUUAUCAUCUAGAGGAAGGUGAAGUCGUAACA